GCCUGAGUGGCUCAGUCGGUUAAGCGUCCGACUUCGGCUCAGGUCAUGAUCUCACGGUUCGUGGGUUUGAGCCCCGCAUCGGGCU
Molecule: transfer RNA, 85 nt
Filed under: Felis catus (domestic cat)
Lineage: Eukaryota; Metazoa; Chordata; Mammalia; Carnivora; Felidae
Rfam family: tRNA
About the family: Transfer RNA (tRNA) molecules are approximately 80 nucleotides in length. Their secondary structure includes four short double-helical elements and three loops (D, anti-codon, and T loops).
Source: Rfam by way of RNAcentral